CUGCGGGAACGGCAGCUAAGACCGGAUGUGCCUGCGGGUGAAAUAUUCAUAGCCAAAAGAGGAGCUCGCGACCGAUUAGCUAGUUGGUGGGGUAAGAGCCUACCAAGGCUGCGAUCGGUAGCCGGUUUGAGAGGACGACCGGCCACACUGGGACUGAGACACGGCCCAGACUCCUACGGGAGGCAGCAGUGGGGAAUUUUCCGCAAUGGGCGAAAGCCUGACGGAGCAAUACCGCGUGAGGGAGGAAGGCUCUUGGGUCGUAAACCUCUUUUCUCAGGGAAGAAGCAAUGACGGUACCUGAGGAAUCAGCAUCGGCUAACUCCGUGCCAGCAGCCGCGGUAAUACGGAGGAUGCAAGCGUUAUCCGGAAUGAUUGGGCGUAAAGCGUCCGCAGGUGGCACAUCAAGUCUGCUGUCAAAGCCCCCAGCUUAACUGGGAAGAGGCGGUGGAAACUGGUGAGCUAGAGAGCAAUAGGGGUAGAGGGAAUUCCCGGUGUAGCGGUGAAAUGCGUAGAGAUCGGGAAGAACACCAGUGGCGAAAGCGCUCUACUAGGUUGCAACUGACACUGAGGGACGAAAGCUAGGGGAGCGAAUGGGAUUAGAUACCCC
This 607-nucleotide ribosomal RNA is filed under the name Chroococcidiopsis sp. WUC1702. RNAcentral describes it as "bacterial SSU rRNA". It matches the Rfam family "Bacterial small subunit ribosomal RNA", at positions 147 to 788 of the family's 1533-position model. The record is from RNAcentral. Lineage: Bacteria; Bacillati; Cyanobacteriota; Cyanophyceae; Chroococcidiopsidales; Chroococcidiopsidaceae.